UACGUAGGCAGCGAGCGUUGUUCGGAAUUACUGGGCGUAAAGAGUGUGUAGGCGGUGCUCUAAGUUCGGUGUGAAAUCCCUCGGCUCAACCGGGGAACUGCGUCUGAUACUGGAUGGCUUGAGUGUGGGAGAGGGAUGCGGAAUUCCAGGUGUAGCGGUGAAAUGCGUAGAUAUCUGGAGGAACACCGGUGGCGAAGGCGGCAUCCUGGACCACGACUGACGCUGAGGAGCGAAAGCCAGGGGAGCAAACGGG
RNAcentral lists this ribosomal RNA (253 nucleotides) under uncultured bacterium. Its description in RNAcentral is "partial 16S ribosomal RNA". It matches the Rfam family "Bacterial small subunit ribosomal RNA", at positions 524 to 776 of the family's 1533-position model. The record is from RNAcentral.